AACUAUUAACAACGGAUCUCUUGGUUCUGGCAUCGAUGAAGAACGCAGCGAAAUGCGAUAAGUAAUGUGAAUUGCAGAAUUCAGUGAAUCAUCGAAUCUUUGAACGCACAUUGCGCCCUGUGGUAUUCCGCAGGGCAUGCCUGUUCGAGCGUCAUUAUAACCACUCAAGCCUGGCUUGGUAUUGGAGUUCGCGGUCUCGCGGCUUCUAAAAUCAGUGGCGGUGCCGGUUGGCUCUAAGCGUAGUAAUUUUUCUCGCUAUUGAGUUCCUCCGGUUGCUUGCCAGAACCCCCAAAUUUUUUAAGGUUGACCUCGGAUCAGGUAGGGAUACCCGCUGAACUUAAGCAUAUCAAUAAGCGGAGGCU
RNAcentral lists this unclassified non-coding RNA (362 nucleotides) under uncultured Helotiales. RNAcentral's name for it is "sequence contains ITS2". The stretch from base 1 to 154 matches the Rfam family "5.8S ribosomal RNA". Lineage: Eukaryota; Fungi; Ascomycota; Leotiomycetes; Helotiales. The record is from RNAcentral.